CAGAGCAUAGCCAAGUCAGUAUAGCACCUCCCUUACACCGAGAAGACGCCCGUGCAAAUCGGACUGCCCUGA
RNAcentral lists this transfer RNA (72 nucleotides) under Linophryne bicornis. RNAcentral describes it as "tRNA-Val". It matches the Rfam family "tRNA". From Rfam's summary of the family: Transfer RNA (tRNA) molecules are approximately 80 nucleotides in length. Their secondary structure includes four short double-helical elements and three loops (D, anti-codon, and T loops). The record is from RNAcentral. Lineage: Eukaryota; Metazoa; Chordata; Actinopteri; Lophiiformes; Linophrynidae. RNAcentral also lists the same sequence under 1 other name.